UUUCCGUAGGUGAACCUGCGGAAGGAUCAUUACCAAAUCCAAAAAAACUUUCUAUCCACACCCCAAUGUGAACUGAGAAUGGUUCUGUUUCCUCUCCCUCUCUCUCUCUCUCUCUCUUCCUCUCUCCCUCUCUCUCUCUUCGGAGUGUCAGGGUCAGGGUUAGGGGUGGGUUGUUUGUGGAGAGGGGAAGCGUGUGAGAGAAAAAAAAACACACAUAUAUAUAUAUACACACGCGCACACACACAAGGCAGAGUUUGGGCGGCGGGGAUUCGUCCCCUGCCACCUCUUUUUCUUCCCCUAUCGUGUGUGUGCGCGCGUGCGUGUGUGUUUUUCUCUCUUGCCACCCCCAUUUUUUCCAACCCCUUUUAAAACCUAAAACCCUUUAUUACAUGCUGAAAGCAAAAACAAACGAAACAUGAGACAACUUUUAACGGUGGAUCUCUUGGCUCGU
This 451-nucleotide unclassified non-coding RNA is filed under the name plant metagenome. RNAcentral's name for it is "partial contains small subunit ribosomal RNA, internal transcribed spacer 1, and 5.8S ribosomal RNA". The record is from RNAcentral.